This 97-nucleotide non-coding RNA is filed under the name unclassified sequences. RNAcentral's name for it is "PhotoRC-II RNA". It matches the Rfam family "PhotoRC-II RNA". The record is from RNAcentral.
CAACACCGUCACUGCUCCCAACCAAGACCUCUGUAGGCAGUAUAAUACUUCGUCUUUCAUAUCCAGUAGUGAGGGAUUACUGGAAAUAAGUUUCGCA